RNAcentral lists this long non-coding RNA (220 nucleotides) under Capsicum annuum. RNAcentral's name for it is "long non-coding RNA (CANN_LNC020306)". The record is from RNAcentral. Lineage: Eukaryota; Viridiplantae; Streptophyta; Magnoliopsida; Solanales; Solanaceae.
CCGCACCGGCUAGCGUGGUUUCCAACAUUAGUCCUUUAGGACUGCCACUUUCACCACCAACUACACAACCCUCUUUUAAGCUCAAUUAAAAUGUUUAUCACAUAUUCCCAUUCAUUGAACCAUUUUUCACAUUAAGGCAUACAUGGUUGGUAUCGUCAUACCAACUACACUUGCAAGGCAACAACAAUAUGCCACACCAAUCACCAUCUCUUGGGGAAAU